Molecule: ribosomal RNA, 354 nt
Filed under: uncultured bacterium
Lineage: Bacteria
Description: bacterial SSU rRNA
Rfam family: Bacterial small subunit ribosomal RNA
Source: RNAcentral
GGAGGAUGCGAGCGUUAUCCGGAUUUAUUGGGUUUAAAGGGUGCGUAGGUGGUGAUUUAAGUCAGCGGUGAAAGUUUGUGGCUCAACCAUAAAAUUGCCGUUGAAACUGGGUUACUUGAGUGUGUAGAGGUUGGCGGAAUUCCGAGUGUAGCGGUGAAAUGCGUAGAUAUUCGGAGGAACACCGGUGGCGAAGGCGGCCAACUGGGCUUUAACUGACGCUGANGCUCGAAAGUGUGGGGAGCAAACAGGAUUAGAUACCCUGGUAGUCCACACUGUAAACGAUGAUUGCUAGGUGUGGGGGGUCUGACCCCUUCCGUGCCGGAGCUAACGCAAUAAGCAAUCCACCUGGGGAGU